Molecule: non-coding RNA, 1093 nt
Organism: Podarcis muralis (Common wall lizard)
Lineage: Eukaryota; Metazoa; Chordata; Lepidosauria; Squamata; Lacertidae
Source: RefSeq, a predicted model, not a curated record
CCGCCUUUACCUUCGCACAGGUACCCGGCCAGCCCCCAGAUGAAGUCGGUGCAGUAGUGGCAGAAGAAUACCCACCAAUGAAUACCAAUCACCAUCUCUUUACACGAAGACCUCUAUAUGACUGCGAUCCUUCAACUGCUUCAGCUGUUCAGACAAUUGAAAGAGCAAAGGCAGACUUAAAACCACCACCAAAACCAGACAAGACAAGACAACUCACCCUAACAAAGCCAGGAGACAAGACAGUUAUGAUUUCUUCUUCUGCAACACCUGGUUGGCCCUCUGACCAGAAAAUAUUGGGUACCACCAUCCCGGAGUCAGUCAGUGUUCAAAAAGCAGAGGGUGAACAAACGUCUACUCCCAGGAAGAGAAAUGCUAUUCAAAAAAGUCUCGGAAAGCCAAUAUACAGAGCUGAUAGGGGUCUCCCUCCAUCUUACACUGGCUACAUCCCAGGUCACAAGUUCUCAUUUGGAAAGACCUGGGGAGUGAGCACCAGAAACUCUCUGGAAGCAGGAAAGAGGCGGCCUUUUGUAUGGACUUCUCAUAUGUAAGCAGGGCAUGACUAAUCAAAUUGCAUGCCAUAAAUUGCCAUCAGUGCAAAUAUAUGCGUUGUCAUCUGAAACAUAUUAACGUUUUCUUUUCCUUUCUAAGUAUACACAUAAGAUAGUUUCUACAAAGGCUAAGCUGAAACUAUAUUCACAAUCUUCCCUCACCCAGAGAAAACAAUGAUUUUUGGUACUCCUUGCAAAAAAGAAAAGAAAAAAGAGGAUGUUUCUAUUUUGCUCUCUCAUGCAGACCGCAUUCAGACACCUUGAUAAACUAUGGUUUAGCUUUCUGCAAACAAGCCUCAUCCUUCUGCAUACACUACUUCUUCCCGUACAACUAACUGCAGUUUAUGCCUAAACCGGGACAAACUGUGGUUCAUCAUAACUAUGGUUUGCCCCAAAGUCGCUUUCAAACCGUGGUUAUGAUCUCAGCUUGUUUGAAGAAACUAUAAUUAAAACUAAUUGCAGUGCCCCAUUGGGAGAAAAUGACAAAUCACCAUUACUUUACGACAGAAAAAGAUGCUUCUUUUUUUAAACGUAUUUUUAAAUUA